Molecule: ribosomal RNA, 467 nt
Filed under: uncultured bacterium
Lineage: Bacteria
Description: bacterial SSU rRNA
Rfam family: Bacterial small subunit ribosomal RNA
Source: RNAcentral
CGCUGGCGGCGUGCCUAACACAUGCAAGUCGAGCGAGGAGAUCCUUCGGGAUGAUCCUAGCGGCGGACGGGUGAGUAACACGUGGGCAACCUGCCUCAUAGAGAGGAAUAGCCUUCCGAAAGGGAGAUUAAUACCUCAUAACAUUGCAGUUUCGCAUGGAACAGCAAUUAAAGGAGUAAUCCGCUAUGAGAUGGGCCCGCGGCGCAUUAGCUAGUUGGUGAGGUAAUGGCUCACCAAGGCGACGAUGCGUAGCCGACCUGAGAGGGUGAUCGGCCACAUUGGGACUGAGACACGGCCCAGACUCCUACGGGAGGCAGCAGUGGGGAAUAUUGCACAAUGGGGGAAACCCUGAUGCCAGCAACGCCGCGUGAGUGAUGACGGCCUUCGGGUUGUAAAGCUCUGUCUUCAGGGACGAUAAUGACGGUACCUGAGGAGGAAGCCACGGCUAACUACGUGCCAGCCGCCGC